GAUGAAGAACGUAGCGAAAUGCGAUACUUGGUGUGAAUUGCAGAAUCCCGUGAACCAUCGAGUCUUUGAACGCAAGUUGCGCCUCAAGCCAUUAGGUUGAGGGCACGUCUGCCUGGGCGUCACAUAUCGUUGCCUGAUGCCAGUUUCCUCGUGAUGGGUGACUGUGCAGGGCGAAUGAUGGCUUCCCGUGAGCAUUGUUGCCUCAUGGUUGGUUGAAAAUUGAGUCCUUGGUAGGGAGCGCCGUGAUAGAUGGUGGUUGAGUGACGAACGAGACCCAAUCAUGUGAGACCCCUACCGAAUUUGGCCUUCAUGACCCACAUGCGUCUUUGGAACGCUCAUGACGAGACCUCAGGUCAGGCGGGGCUACCCGCUGAGUUUAUGCAUAUCAAUAAGCGGAGGA
RNAcentral lists this unclassified non-coding RNA (400 nucleotides) under soil metagenome. RNAcentral's name for it is "partial contains 5.8S ribosomal RNA, internal transcribed spacer 2, and large subunit ribosomal RNA". The stretch from base 1 to 122 matches the Rfam family "5.8S ribosomal RNA", at positions 35 to 154 of the family's 154-position model. The record is from RNAcentral.